Pleuronectes platessa (European plaice) is the source of this 485-nucleotide long non-coding RNA. RefSeq lists it as uncharacterized. The record is from RefSeq and is a predicted model, not a curated record. The transcript is spliced from 4 exons. NCBI's taxonomy places the organism in Eukaryota, Metazoa, Chordata, Actinopteri, Pleuronectiformes, Pleuronectidae.
CCACAGCCUUGUCACUAGCCGCUCGUUAGCUCCCCUCAAGCCACCUGCAAGCUGCUCGGUCCACUCGUAGGUUCAUGUCGGCGGAUCCCCGUCGAUUCACUCGACACAAACCAUGGCUGGCUGUGCAGUUCAUUGAACUAACAGACCGUCUCACAGCUCUGUUGUCAAGUUCUUCCGUUUUCCUCUAGGUGAUCCUGAGAGGCUAGACCUGUGGGUGAUCAACAUGAAGAGACCGAACUGGAUUCCGAGCCUCUGCAGUCAACACUUGAGAGACAACACUUGAGCAAUGACAAAAGGGUGACUCAGACAGCCUGCACCAGUGGAUGUCCAACAUGAGGAGACAGAACAGGACUCCAACAAGACUGAACACUAAGUUUCAUCACCUAAGCACUGACUCCAGGGACGGACGAGCCUGAAGGACUCAGCUGUGCUGACGGUGUUCUGUCUCUUAUGGGGAAUUAGAAAAAUAAAGCACUGGGUUUUUA